Molecule: RNA transcript, 1999 nt
Organism: Malus domestica (apple)
Lineage: Eukaryota; Viridiplantae; Streptophyta; Magnoliopsida; Rosales; Rosaceae
Gene name: protein neprosin
Source: RefSeq, a predicted model, not a curated record
AGAGAGUUAAUUUGAGAGAGAGAAAAGUAGAGGGAAAAUGACAAGAAAGAAAGAAAUGUGCAGUUCUUGAAAUGUGAAAGUAGAGAGAUAGAAAACGACAAAGUUCCCAAGUGGGUUCUUGAGAGACAGAGGUGGGCAGUUUUAUUGGAUUUUGGCGUUGAAGGUUUCAAGCAGAACCAACUCACCCAGCAAAGCUGCGUCAUUUGGGUUCUCACACAGAGAGAGAGAGGGGUCUUUGUGUUUCUGGGUAAUGAUCAAUGUGCUUGCUUGAGCUCUAACCUACGCUGCUGGGUCUCUAUAUUGUAGCACUGUGAGAGAGAGAGAGAGAGAGAGAGAGAGAGAGAAAGCUUUGAUUUUUUGAGCUUUUUGGGUCUUUGUUUUGCUGGGUUUACCAAAUGGAGUUUGCUGGGUGCAGCAGAGGGAGCUCUGGGAGAGCUCUGGCGCUGGCCAUUUGCCUAUUGACCUUGAUCUCUCUAUCUUGUGCUGCCAGAUUGAGUGCUUCUUCAAGGCAGAAGCUUGAUGUCCACAAGCACCUAAACCGCUUGAACAAACCCGCCGUGAAAAGCAUCAAGAGCCCAGAUGGAGAUAUUAUAGACUGUGUUCAUAUCUCUCAGCAACCGGCUUUCGAUCACCCUUACCUCAAAGAUCACAAAAUCCAGAUGAGGCCUACCUACCACCCCGAAGGGUUAUUUGCUGAGAACAAAGUGGCUGAAAGUACAAAAAGAAAGGGUAAAUACCCAGCUGUGGCAUGUCAAUGGGAGAUGCCCGGAAGAUACUAUUCCGGUAAGGAGAACGAAGGAAGAUGAUAUUCUGAGAGCAAGUUCAAUGAAACAUUAUGGAAGGAAGAAGCAGAGAACCAUACCAAAAUCUGCUGAUCCUGAUCUUGCCAAUGAGAGUGGCCAUCAGCAUGCAAUUGCAUAUGUCAAUGGAGAUAAGUACUAUGGAGCAAAAGCAACCAUAAAUGUCUGGGAACCCAAGAUACAACAGCCUAAUGAGUUCAGCUUGUCUCAGCUGUGGGUAUUAGGAGGAUCUUUUGGUGAAGAUCUGAACAGCAUUGAAGCUGGCUGGCAGGUAAGCCCAGACCUCUAUGGUGACAACAACACAAGACUUUUUACAUACUGGACUAGUGAUGCAUAUCAAGCCACUGGUUGCUACAACCUCCUCUGCUCAGGCUUCAUUCAAAUCAACAAUGAAAUAGCAAUGGGUGCAAGCAUCUCUCCAGUUUCAGGCGUUCGAGGAUCGCAAUAUGACAUCAGUAUACUUGUCUGGAAGGAUCCAAAGGAGGGGCACUGGUGGAUGCAAUUCGGAAACGACUAUGUGCUGGGUUAUUGGCCUUCUUACCUAUUCUCCUACUUGGCUGACAGUGCUUCCAUGGUUGAGUGGGGAGGUGAGGUUGUGAAUUCAGAGCCGGACGGCCAGCACACCUCAACCCAAAUGGGCAGCGGACGUUUUCCAGAGGAGGGUUUUGGCAAGGCAAGUUAUUUCAGAAACAUCCAGGUUGUUGAUAGCUCAAAUAAUCUCAAGGCCCCAAAAGGGUUGGGCACGUUCACUGAGCAACCAAACUGCUAUGAUGUUCGAACUGGCAGUAAUGGAGACUGGGGUCAUUACUUUUACUACGGAGGCCCCGGUAAAAACUCGAAUUGCCCGUGAGGUGAAAAAGACCAUUUCACCGCUCUACUUAAUCCUAUGUGUAUCAUUCAAUCUAGUGUAAUACCUUUUUCUUGUUCUUGUUCUUCUUCUCCCUUGUAUACCCUUUUUAUUUAUUUUUUCCUUUUCAGUGCUUAGGUUGGGUAGUACUAGUAGACAAGUGGUUGUAGCUUUUUAUGUAGUGGGAAGUUUUGACUCGUUGGUGUUUUUAGUGAAAGGAUCAAUCUCGCUCCAUGUAAGUAAGUGGUGGGUGGGUGUGAAGAAGGUAGGCCGAGUUUCUCAGAAGCCUAAAGAAACGAAGGCCUUUUUUUUAAUUAUAUAAAACUCCUUUGGUAUUCUUCUUGUUUGUAUA